AGUGGCGGACGGGUGAGUAACACGUAAGAAUUUGCCUUUAGGAGGGGGACAACAACUAGAAAUGGUUGCUAAUACCCCAUAUGCUUUCGAGUGAAAUGGAUUUUUCCGCCUAGAGAGAAGCUUGCGGCUGAUUAGCUUGUUGGUGAGGUAAUGGCUCACCAAGGCGACGAUCAGUAUCUGGUUUGAGAGGACGAUCAGACACACUGGAACUGAGACACGGUCCAGACUCCUACGGGAGGCAGCAGUGGGGAAUUUUCCGCAAUGGGCGAAAGCCUGACGGAGCAAUACCGCGUGAGGGAUGACGGCCUAUGGGUUGUAAACCUCUUUUUUCAGGGAGGAAUCAAUGACGUGUACCUGAAGAAUAAGCAUCGGCUAACUCCGUGCCAGCAGCCGCGGUAAGACGGGGGAUGCAAGUGUUAUCCGGAAUCACUGGGCGUAAAGCGACUGUAGGUGGUCCAAUAAGUCAACUGUUAAAUCUUGAGGCUCAACCUCAAAAUCGCAGUCGAAACUAUUAGACUAGAGUAUAGUAGGGGUAAAGGGAAUUUCCAGUGGAGCGGUGAAAUGCGUAGAGAUUGGAAAGAACACCGAUGGCGAAGGCACUUUACUGGGCUAUUACUAACACUCAGAGACGAAAGCUAGGGUAGCAAAUGGGAUUAGAUACCCCAGUAGUCCUAGCCGUAAACAAUGGAUACUAGAUGUU
This 700-nucleotide ribosomal RNA is filed under the name uncultured bacterium. RNAcentral's name for it is "bacterial SSU rRNA". It matches the Rfam family "Bacterial small subunit ribosomal RNA", at positions 94 to 824 of the family's 1533-position model. The record is from RNAcentral.